RNAcentral lists this ribosomal RNA (425 nucleotides) under uncultured bacterium. RNAcentral describes it as "bacterial SSU rRNA". It matches the Rfam family "Bacterial small subunit ribosomal RNA", at positions 83 to 507 of the family's 1533-position model. The record is from RNAcentral.
GGUGGGCGUCGACCGGCGCACGGUGAGUAACGCGUAUCCAACCUGCCCACCACUUGGGGAUAACCUUGCGAAAGUAAGACUAAUACCCAAUGAUAUCCCACGAAGGCAUCCGAAUGGGAUUAAAGAUUUAUCGGUGAUGGAUGGGGAUGCGUCUGAUUAGCUUGUUGGCGGGGUAACGGCCCACCAAGGCAACGAUCAGUAGGGGUUCUGAGAGGAAGGUCCCCCACAUUGGAACUGAGACACGGUCCAAACUCCUACGGGAGGCAGCAGUGAGGAAUAUUGGUCAAUGGGCGGAAGCCUGAACCAGCCAAGUAGCGUGCAGGACGACGGCCCUAUGGGUUGUAAACUGCUUUUAUAAGGGUAUAAAGUGGGUCACGUGUGACUUUUUGCAUGUACCUUAUGAAUAAGGACCGGCUAAUUCCGUG